GUCGCUCUUCCUGGUUACCGCACCUGGCCCAACAGAGGGACCCUGCCUCAGGCCAUGAUCUGGGCACUGGAAUGCCAUCCUACAGAGGAUCAAGAUGAAGGACUCUACUGAGCCAGGUAAAAUCAGAUUAAAGAUCAACCAAGGACAGCAGGGAAACCAUCACCAGACGGCAAGCAGGCUGCGCACGGGAGAAAGAAUACUCUUCGCACAACACACUGAGAACGUCCUGCGUCACAGAAGAGAACUCCUUCCUCUGGAGUCAGAGCUCUUGUUCCAGAGUCAAGACCAGUGACGGGGGCUGUGUGCCAUGAAAGCUACCUGGCUGAUCACUCAGGAAACGCCAUGUGCGCAGCCUCACAGCAGGCGAGGCAUGCUCCCAUCAUUGCCUGGGCAUUGAGAACUACCCAGAAGAAUAGAUGCCAGAAAUUUUACAGUAGUCACGCCGGGGUGCAGCGCUAGCAGUCACGACAGGUUCAUUUUAGACCUUGCUGUCUGUGAUUGACAGGAAAGCUAAGAAUCCUGGUCAAGCUCUAGGCCACUGGAACUGGUUCUCCAGGGUGCGGCUUGCACUCUUUCUACGCCACCAGUUCACUCUGCCCACCCAAGGGCAGCACCUGUCCAGUGUCGCUUGCCCCAACGCCACUCCUUUAUUCUCCGACUCAGCCAGGUGGGCUCUACUCACGUCUUGCCUGUCAUGGGCCUCAUAUUGCUGUUUCAUAAAAGCCAGGACUGCUCUGGCCUCAAGAGACCAACUCUAGAGAAGAGGAGGAGGAAGGAGGAGAGGGACAUCUAAGGGGACAACUUUCAACACUUGACUCAGGCAGGAUUUCGGAACUUGCCAGUACCGACUGGGAAUCCUAUCCUAUCCCUUCAGUGAAUGGCCCGGCAGACUUCACCGUUCCCCAAAGACCUUCCAAUGACUUGAAUCAAGAGUCCCACCUCUGUGAAAAAAUAUCCUUUUACUGUAGGAGGCACUGCCAAGGUGACAGGAGUGGGUGGUGGUGGUGGUGGCAGUGGAUGGGUGUGGACAGAGGAGGGCCACCAGGGAGUAAGCAGACACACGCCCACCUCCUGAAGCUCGGUUCACCCUCACUACCUCUGACCCCAGAACAGUAAAACCAUUGUUUUGACACAA
Molecule: long non-coding RNA, 1135 nt
Organism: Myodes glareolus (Bank vole)
Lineage: Eukaryota; Metazoa; Chordata; Mammalia; Rodentia; Cricetidae
Source: RefSeq, a predicted model, not a curated record